Molecule: long non-coding RNA, 905 nt
Organism: Leucoraja erinaceus (little skate)
Lineage: Eukaryota; Metazoa; Chordata; Chondrichthyes; Rajiformes; Rajidae
Exons: 5
Source: RefSeq, a predicted model, not a curated record
CAGGCUCAUUCAACAGAGAUGAUGAACCAUUCAAUGAAUGCAAGAAGCUUCUUCAAGCGAGCAUGAGGCAACUACUUGUAAAAGAUAUCGAAAUAGGGAAACUGAACGCUAGAGUCCAAGAUGCUGAGGAAGGUCUGCGUGCAAAGGAUGCAGGUAAAACAAAUUUGCUCAAAUAAUAUGUUUUCUUUAACUGGUGGUUCCACUAGCAUCUAACCCCAUCAGAAAUUCGCGUGACGUUCUUUUGCGUCAGUCUUUCAGAGGUCGGCAUCGGCAACAUGCCAAGUUUACGGAUGAUCCGAAGAUUGGUGGAAGGGCAAUUCUGUGACGGAAAAGGAAAUUUGCAGAAAGACGUCAGCAGGUUGGGAGAGAGGCCUAAAUGGGUCAAAAUGGCAACGGAAUACAAAGUAGUAAAAUGUACGGACAUGCACUUCUCAAUAGAGAAUAACGACGAAGAAUGAUUUCCAAAUCGGAGGUGCAAGAGGUCGUGAAUGUACUGGUGCGGGAUUCUCCACAAUCCUUCCUGUCAUUCUCCAAUCCUCAUUGUAGCACAGCUAUCCCCAUUCAUAUCGCUAUAAAACUCUGAUACAUCUCACACAUUCGAUGUACACGCUGAUGUAUCUCAAAACCAUCGCUCGAACACCCGAAUACUCAAUUGACAACCCAUUGUUACACUCCUGUACAAUCCAUAACCUCUCUAUAACGCUCUGGUACAACCGCACCUCGUCAAUGAAGCAUUGUGAUAGACCACCUCAUCCUGCACCGCUGUGCAACUCUGAUGGAGGCAGCACCCUUCGCUGCACAUUUCUGAUUAAUCGAAUCAGGGAAUACAUGGAAUAAUUGAAUGUCACCACAUGAAAUCAGACACUGUCGCAAACGGCUACAUUUUUUCAAAUUGAUACACGGUG